Long non-coding RNA from Ornithorhynchus anatinus (platypus), 1327 nucleotides. RefSeq lists it as uncharacterized. The record is from RefSeq and is a predicted model, not a curated record. NCBI's taxonomy places the organism in Eukaryota, Metazoa, Chordata, Mammalia, Monotremata, Ornithorhynchidae. The transcript has 2 exons.
UUGAGAUGGGCAGCUUGGAGGCCUUGAGAAGUAAAAUAUGUACCAUUAACAGGCUCUUAAUUCUAACUUAUGCAGAAAGAGAUACCCACCAUCCUACCCAACAUCUGAUCUAGCCAUAAAAAGUAGGGCAUUCACUCCCUUAUUGGAGUUGCAGCGAUUCUUUCAGACCACAGGGCCUCGGGCUAUCUGCAAAGAAAAUAAGGCAGAUGGGAAUCCAAAUGUCUCCUCCUCACAAGAGACUUACCGUGGAAGACUGGGAUUUUGAGGUUCGGGCUUAUUUGCGGCUAAAGGCUUUGGAAUAGGAGUCACUCUGCGAGUUUUGGGGUGCAGCUCUUGGGAAGUUUCCAAAGGGGAGAGAGCUGAUUCCCCGAGAGGCGGCAUCUGCCGGUCCGGACAUUGAGGCCAUUUCUUUUCGCUGGUUUUGCUUUUGUGUUUGGCUAACAAUACGUCAAAUCUCUGUCUUCGGCCCUGCACAGCUCUCUUCUGGGUUAAGGAAUGUAUCUGCCAAGCAAAGAGAUACACGUUUCUGAGGCUCUGCUGAUUCCUGGUUAUGUCUUACCCAGACAUAUGUCUCACCAAGAAGGAGAUCAAAUGAAAAAAAAAAAAAAAGACCAGCCACAUGAUUCAUCAGGAUACAUAUAUAUUUACGUCUUUCAAGCAAGUUCAAGUUAAUGAUGGAGCUGCUAGAGGAUUUGGAGAUGGAAUCCACCAUCGUAGCUUAGCUUUCAUUUCUUAAAAAGGGCCAGUGUCAUAAAAUCUGAGAUGAAUUGAAGCUGAGAACUAUUCUCUCUCUCCCCCAUUUUAUGUAAUUGGUAAAAUAGGAAACCGAACUAAAAAAAUUAGACUCACAUUUCUCCCUUAUGAAAUCUAUACAUUCUCUUUGCUAGGGAACAUGACAAUACUGUAAAGUGCACACUCAAAAAUACAUAUUUACAAAGCUCGUGAAAGCUAUAUUCUUCUGCAUUCUUUACCAUAUGCCCAAAAUGAAUUCUUUGGGUUUUAAAUCCUAUUUUACCCCAGUUUCUACACCCAGAUUAUGUGAUGAAUUUGGGUGAACCCCGACAAGGCAGCCAGCCAGGAUUUGGGCAACCCUUAACCUCUCCCAUUUCUGUAGCUCGUGGCUGCUCUUUUUCUAAUCUCCUGAUCUGAGGGAUCAUUUGUAAAAACCUCUUUCAUUUAAUACAAAAAAUCCCCCAAAUUAAGUCUCCAUAGCAGCACAAACCGAGACCCUAAUUAAAUAUAACACAUCCAAAGUUUUCAUGGGUUCUGGAGCUAUCAAAAAGGAUCGGAAUACACAAACAGACAUACACACACACACACACACACA